RNAcentral lists this ribosomal RNA (472 nucleotides) under uncultured bacterium. Its description in RNAcentral is "bacterial SSU rRNA". It matches the Rfam family "Bacterial small subunit ribosomal RNA", at positions 327 to 793 of the family's 1533-position model. The record is from RNAcentral.
AGCAGAGCACUCCUCGGGAGGCAGCAGUGGGGAAUAUUGCACAAUGGGCGCAAGCCUGAUGCAGCCAUGCCGCGUGUAUGAAGAAGGCCUUCGGGUUGUAAAGUACUUUCAGCAGUGAGGAAGGUGGGUAUGUUAAUAGCAUACUCAUUUGACGUUAGCUGCAGAAGAAGCACCGGCUAACUCCGUGCCAGCAGCCGCGGUAAUACGGAGGGUGCGAGCGUUAAUCGGAAUUACUGGGCGUAAAGCGCAUGCAGGUGGUUUGUUAAGUCAGAUGUGAAAGCCCGGGGCUCAACCUCGGAAUUGCAUUUGAAACUGGCAAACUAGAGUACUGUAGAGGGGGUGGAAUUUCAGGUGUAGCGGUGAAAUGCGUAGAGAUCUGAAGGAAUACCGGUGGCGAAGGCGGCCCCCUGGACAGAUACUGACACUCAGAUGCGAAAGCGUGGGGAGCAAACAGGAUUAGAUACCCUGGUAG